GGCCUCUUGACAUUGUGUCUGGAGCGUGCCUAAUAUUCCACCAGCUUCAGAAGCGGGAUGGAGAACAAGCUUAGCAGAGGUACCCAUUCCAUUCCCAGUUUGCUCAGUAGCUAGUAAUUGGAAGACACUGUGCAACAUCA
This 140-nucleotide small nucleolar RNA is filed under the name Neotoma lepida (desert woodrat). The record is from RNAcentral. Lineage: Eukaryota; Metazoa; Chordata; Mammalia; Rodentia; Cricetidae.